UCUCAAAAAUAUUUUGCAAUCACUCAAAAAUUUAACACUCAAAAAUUUAACAAACACCAUAUUCUAUCUCAAAAUAAUGUUACUUUCAUCAUAUAUUUUUUUCAGAAUUUUUCUCCAAUUUUUGUUGUCCAAGAAACACUGCAUUCAAACACCACAGACUGAGAAAUAAGAAAAAUAAUCUUACCCAAAGUAUAUCUGUGUUUCAAAAAUUCUUAAAAUUCAUGAGAAAGCCUUUGGAAGUUGAAUUAUCACCAAAGCUCACCGGAGCCACCGCUGGAACCACCGCGCACGGUGGUCGGCCGCCACCCAUUGACGACAUUUGCCAAAUUCGAGCACACCAAAAUGUUCCUCUCCUUCUCCUAAUUCCAUAGAUACCAACCAUGCAUCAAAGCUGCUCACUAAUUGUUCAAACCAAGCUUUGUAAUCUCACCUUCUAUCUUUUCUUUCUUGCUUUCUCUCUCUUCUUUUCUCUCUUUUUCUCUCAUAUGUCUUGAAUUUCAGACCCAAAUUCAUCUUCUUUCACUGCCGACAGCCUCCCUCAUCGGCCAGCCAUCCAUUUUUUGGUCACUCCUCCUCCUUUCCCCUUCUUCUUCUUCUUCUUUAUCUUUUCUUGGCUGCCGGAGAUCUCUCCUCCUCCCCCUCCUUCUUUUUUAUCUUUUCUUGGCUGCUGGAGAUCUCUUAUCUCUUUUUCUUCUUCUUAUUCUUUUCUUCUUUUUUAUCUUUU
Molecule: unclassified non-coding RNA, 724 nt
Filed under: Hevea brasiliensis (rubber tree)
Lineage: Eukaryota; Viridiplantae; Streptophyta; Magnoliopsida; Malpighiales; Euphorbiaceae
Source: RNAcentral